AUCACUUCUUGGCCUUUCAGCUAAGAUCAAGUGUAGUACCUAUUCUUAUCAGUUUAAUAUUUAAACAAGGUUGAGUCUCUCUCAUCUUUGAAAAAAACAGGGACACCUAAU
RNAcentral lists this small nuclear RNA (111 nucleotides) under Pteropus vampyrus (large flying fox). Its description in RNAcentral is "U2 spliceosomal RNA (ENSPVAG00000029209.1)". It matches the Rfam family "U2 spliceosomal RNA". Rfam says of the family: U2 is a small nuclear RNA (snRNA) component of the spliceosome (involved in pre-mRNA splicing). Complementary binding between U2 snRNA (in an area lying towards the 5' end but 3' to hairpin I) and the branchpoint sequence (BPS) of the intron results the bulging out of an unpaired adenosine, on the BPS, which initiates a nucleophilic attack at the intronic 5' splice site, thus starting the first of two transesterification reactions that mediate splicing. The record is from RNAcentral. Lineage: Eukaryota; Metazoa; Chordata; Mammalia; Chiroptera; Pteropodidae.